GACGAACGCUGGCGGCGUGCUUAACACAUGCAAGUCGAACGGAAAGGCCCUGCUUUUGUGGGGUGCUCGAGUGGCGAACGGGUGAGUAACACGUGAGUAACCUGCCCUUGACUUUGGGAUAACUUCAGGAAACUGGGGCUAAUACCGGAUAGGAGCUCCUGCUGCAUGGUGGGGGUUGGAAAGUUUCGGCGGUUGGGGAUGGACUCGCGGCUUAUCAGCUUGUUGGAGGGGUAGUGGCUUACCAAGGCUUUGACGGGUAGCCGGCCUGAGAGGGUGACCGGCCACAUUGGGACUGAGAUACGGCCCAGACUCCUACGGGGGGCAGCGGUGGGGAAUAUUGCACAAUGGGCGGAAGCCUGAUGCAGCAACGCCGCGUGCGGGAUGACGGCCUUCGGGUUGUAAACCGCUUUCGCCUGUGACGAAGCGUGAGUGACGGUAAUGGGUAAAGAAGCACCGGCUAACUACGUG
Molecule: ribosomal RNA, 468 nt
Filed under: uncultured bacterium
Lineage: Bacteria
Description: partial 16S ribosomal RNA
Rfam family: Bacterial small subunit ribosomal RNA
Source: RNAcentral